CUCUUGUUCAACGUUGGCCUAAGCCCUCUCAACCCUGCCGGUAUUUUCAUAUAUAUAUUUAUCAUUCGUUGCUUCCCUUUUCUUCUUGUUCUUUUGCUAAGCUAUGUCGAUCCUCUUUCAUUGCAGACAUGGAUGUUGACGCAGCUCGAAUGCUAGCCUAGGAUCUCAAGACCCACAAAAGGAAAGGCGCAACAUCCUCGGGGGCGGC
RNAcentral lists this long non-coding RNA (208 nucleotides) under Elaeis guineensis (African oil palm). RNAcentral describes it as "long non-coding RNA (EGUI_LNC071090)". The record is from RNAcentral. Lineage: Eukaryota; Viridiplantae; Streptophyta; Magnoliopsida; Arecales; Arecaceae.